CUCCCUCCCUGCUCCCCCACCUCCCUCCCGAGUCGUAGACUCCCUUCCCCCCGGCGCUGGGAGUCUCCUUCCCGCCCCGCCGCGCAGGUGCGGCGACGGCCGCGUCACUGGAGAGUGUGUCGAGUCACAGGCGGUCUUCCGCGCGGAGCGUCCCCGGCGGACGCUGCGCAGAUGGCUGCGACUGUAGGAUUCUUGCCGGCUAGUCUUCGUCGGUUCCGCCUGCGUCAGGUUACUCGUGAAAACUCGAAUAAGUGCUAUCGAUGUGAAAUCCGAGGAAAAGAGCAUUUGGGGGAAAAGUAAGGAAAACUCAAAACUCGGAUUGAGAAGUCUGCCUUGGCUCAUUAAUCAAGAAUUGCGCUUGCGCGCCUAAAUGUGACUGCCUUUAUCCUGCGAUGUCGGUAUUGAAGUAAGAGCAAUACUGGCGGCGUACCUAGCAUUUAGCGACCAUCAGUAUCAGUAGCAGGCCUCUAGCAAAGAACCAGUUAGUGAGCUUUGUACCAUAUCGAAAAUUAUAAGCCGUCCAAAAAAGUGUGAGAGUAAGGAAAAUGGCAGAUUAGAAUCAAAAUAUUUUUAUACCUGUGUCAUACAAGGGUACUUUGAAAAUAGAAAACCAGGUGGAAAUACCACAAAACUUAUUGUAUAUGUUGACACCGAAGAUGGUUUACAAUAGGGAAGAACAGGUGCAAUCAUGCUUGUUCUGUUUCAUGCCAAAUUCCGAAGAUUCACAGUAAGAAUUUAAUCAGAGGUCUUUAUAUUGGAAAAUAUUGCCUAACUGUAGCCUGCUUCAGGCUUGGUUAAUAUAGUUGUGAAACUAGACAUUAAGGCCCUGUAAUACAGACAAAACUUUAAAGAAAUAGGUCAUUUAAAAUGUCCCGUAGAAAAAUGAACAAAAUUCUGUUACUUCAGUUUGCUAAAUAGUGUUUUGUUUUUUUACCAAGUUACAAACACGAUUACACUAAUAUAUUCACACGUCGAUUAUGGUAGUCUUAAGAAGAGCAGUUUAGAGGAGACAGGAGCUUGAGUAAAAGGGAACUUAAGACCAAGUUGACUCGUAGGAAGAUACGGAAGAUAAAAGAGAAUUGAGGUAAUUAAUCUAUCAGUCAUGCUAGAGACAGGAAUGAUUUUUCCAAUAGGAGGUGAAGGUACACAGAUGUUUGUCUUUACUGGGAAUAAUGCCACAGUGGAAGACAAAGGUAAUAUAGAAAAUAAAAUAUUAAGAAGGAAUUAAGUAUUAAGAAGGAUCGUGGAUUUGAGGUGGAGUGGAGGAAAUUUGGAAUUAAUCUUUGUGCUAAGAAACUAACAGGACGAAUGAAGAUUGCUGAAUAGUACCAGCGAAGUGAUUAUUCCAAAGUAGACAAGAAAAAAAUAUUGGUAAAUUUAAAACUUGACAGAUUACUUUGAAUUGUCUAUAACAUUUUCUUCUUUCUGUUAAUAUUAGGUCUUGAAAAAUUGAAUAUUACAAAAUAAGAUGUCUGAGAGAACAUAGUGCUAUUAGUCCAUAUAAAUUACAUGUCAUAAUAUUAGACUUCCAAAAGCACCAUGACUCUGUAUUUUUAAAAUACCUCUUGAAUGAUAGAUGCAUGAAAUGAAAUACUAGGUUUUUAUACCAAGAUAUUCAACGCUUAUUUCCU
Molecule: long non-coding RNA, 1631 nt
Filed under: Homo sapiens (human)
Lineage: Eukaryota; Metazoa; Chordata; Mammalia; Primates; Hominidae
Description: non-protein coding lnc-INPP4B-2:3
Source: RNAcentral